CGCGGAGAGAGGAGCGCAAAUCAUCAAUCGAAUCCGACAAGCUUUCCAGGGUGGCCAUAGGGCGAGGAGCACGAGCAGCUGGUGAGGAAGAAGACUCUCCGGGAUGCAGUCUGGGAGAGCGACGAGGCAGAGGAGGGGGACUGCGGGUACGCUCACGGAUAGGACGAUGGUCCCAUGGACGAGUAAGCCCAGCUCUAGUGGCCGCUUGACGACC
This 214-nucleotide long non-coding RNA is filed under the name Rosa chinensis. Its description in RNAcentral is "sRNA RchiOBHm_Chr1g0383631". Lineage: Eukaryota; Viridiplantae; Streptophyta; Magnoliopsida; Rosales; Rosaceae. The record is from RNAcentral.